Molecule: ribosomal RNA, 427 nt
Filed under: uncultured prokaryote
Description: bacterial SSU rRNA
Rfam family: Bacterial small subunit ribosomal RNA
Source: RNAcentral
UGGGGAAUAUUGCGCAAUGAACGAAAGUUUGACGCAGCGACGCCGCGUGAGGGACGAAGGUCUUCGGAUCGUAAACCUCUGUCAGAAGGGAAGAAGUGUAGGGGUAGUAACUGCCCGCUACUUGACGGUACCUUCAAAGGAAGCACCGGCUAACUCCGUGCCAGCAGCCGCGGUAAUACGGAGGGUGCGAGCGUUAAUCGGAAUUACUGGGCGUAAAGCGCGCGUAGGCGGCUUUGGAAGUCAGGGGUGAAAGCCCAUGGCGCAACCGGGGCAUUGCCUUUGAUACUGCAGAGCUUGAGUUCGGGAGAGGGUGGUGGAAUUCCAGGUGUAGUAGUGAAAUCCGUAGAGAUCUGGAGGAACAUCAGUGGCGAAGGCGACCACCUGGCCCGAUACUGACGCUGAGGUGCGAAAGCGUGGGUAGCAAACA